Non-coding RNA from Cordylochernes scorpioides, 73 nucleotides. The record is from the annotation of a GenBank genome assembly. NCBI's taxonomy places the organism in Eukaryota, Metazoa, Arthropoda, Arachnida, Pseudoscorpiones, Chernetidae.
UCCCAAGUGGUCUAGUGGCUAGGAUAUCUUUGCUUUCACCCAGAAUGCCCGGGUUUGAUUCCUGACGUGUGAA